UACGGGGGGGGCAAGCGUUGUUCGGAAUUACUGGGCGUAAGGGCUCGUAGGUGGCCAACUAAGUCAGACGUGAAAUCCCUCGGCUUAACCGGGGAACUGCGUCUGAUACUGGAUGGCUAGAGAUUGGGAGAGGGAUGCGGAAUUCCAGGUGUAGCGGUGAAAUGCGUAGAUAUCUGGAGGAACACCGGUGGCGAAGGCGGCAUCCUGGACCGGCAUUGACGCUGAUGAGCGAAAGCUAGGGGAGCAAACGGG
Molecule: ribosomal RNA, 252 nt
Filed under: uncultured bacterium
Lineage: Bacteria
Description: partial 16S ribosomal RNA
Rfam family: Bacterial small subunit ribosomal RNA
Source: RNAcentral